AUAUCUGCACCACUUGGCCGCGACCCGUUUUGCUCCGCGUUCUUUUUGUACGCGUUGUUCCCCAAAGACAUAAGUCGCGUACGAUGGUGGGGUCUCUCGACGGGAGGCUCCAGCGGUAGAGAAGAACUUCGUACGGUUGUAAGAACGUACAAGCUGAGUUCGAAGUUUGGAGACCACUGUACUUGCGGCCAUUCUGGAAAGCAGGGGAGACAGGCAGCUAUCCAGCCUUUUGAAUGAACACUUAGAAAACACUUCUACUGAGUGAGCGUGUGUGAGUGAGCGAGUAUGUGAAUGAAUGAACGAAUGCAGGAUGGAGAAGGAACAACAGAGAACAAUCGUCGAGAGGGGGUUCAGUGGAGCACUGGAGUCUCUGCGUAGAGAUGUUGAAAAGCUCGAGAUCGAUAUGUGGCAGCUACUAUCGCAUUGAGAGCGCUCCGAUCUGCGCUCUGUAGACGCUGCUUCGGCUCGUCUUGGAGUCCUACGCUCGUUCGGAAAGCGACUCCGCGGAGGCUCGUCGCGAUGACCCACUCCCAAGUACAGACGUUUUCCAUGGGAACGUGUGCGAAUCCGGCGCUGGAGCCGAGCGGGGAGCUGAGAACAUGGCCCUACUGGAGCUCGCUGGUGAUGAUCGUGCUACAACCCGAGGACAGAGAGCGUACGAAUGAGGUGAAUAAAUGGGCCCCUUGGACUUCUGUCGAUCGAGCAAGAAGCUCCCCACACCGAGCCGGAAGCUCCCAGCAUACCGUCCUGCCUGCGAGAGAUACGGCGUUAUUCGGCGUGGCACCCGAAACCGAUCGACUUGUAACGUCAAGAUGCCUUUUCUGUCCGACUGUACGAAGGCUUGAAUUUAUCGCACAACAUAUGCUGGAGGCGCAUCCAGAUGAAUGCAGACGUAGAGUGAAAGGGAUGGAUCAGGAUGCGACUUCGGAAAGCGAAGAUAUACCUCGGUCUCCGUACGCUGAUGCCGUCCCGGGAGCUUCUGGGCUCGGAUCGAUUUCAUAUCCUGAUCAUCCGGAAGACUCAGAAUCGCAGACAAAAGCUCCGGAGUCACUUUUAAGACUUCCACAUGACGUGACUCCUAGUGCCGACGAUCCCGAUAUUCGGGUUCAGCCAAAUAACCAUGCUCACCUUAAGGUUUUCGACUCAGCGAGUAAUUCCGCUGAGCUCCAUGAGACAGCGUCGAAUAACGGCAGGAAACCGUCCAGGAAGAGAAGGUUUUCCCUGCAGAAAAAUAGAGAAUACGAUCCUGACGAGCAUUGUGGCGUGCUGACGGAACCUCACGGCAAGCCGUGCUGCUAUGCCCUAUCAGCCUGUAAACUCCAUCCUGUGAUGCAGCGACGCGCCGUGCUGGGCCGACGCGCCACCUACGAUGAAUUGGUCGCGAAUUGUCGACGGCGCGUCAAGGAACCGUCGCAGCAUGCGAAAUUCGCUAGCUGAUUGAGGAGCUCAACAAUCACUCCGAUACAUUAUUUCACCAAAGCUCUCUGUUAUAUCAUUCACUAGUCGAUUUUGACUGAUAACGACGCUGUGAAGGAGGGAAAGCGCUAGCGAGCGAUCGUGAUUCUCGGGAAUUUAGAUAGUCCUGACUCAGUAUUCAAUGUACAAUAAUCUGUAUAUAUCGAUGGAGAACAUCCCUUGGAGGGGGAGACGAAGAUAGGACACAAAGUAAGCUAGACGAGGAGUUUUUAGACAUGACUGGAAAGCUCAGAUACUUGAUGAUAUGAUGAGAAACACUGCCACUCAGUUCAAGUUGCUCGUGAUUGAACCCGCGUGAGGAUAAUGUAAAGCGUACACAACCUCUCACAAAAGAAUGAAGCUCAAAGCUGAAGCCAAAUAAAUAUUCAAUAGUGAUCUUUGACUAA
Molecule: long non-coding RNA, 1862 nt
Organism: Galendromus occidentalis (western predatory mite)
Lineage: Eukaryota; Metazoa; Arthropoda; Arachnida; Mesostigmata; Phytoseiidae
Exons: 7
Source: RefSeq, a predicted model, not a curated record